GGAGAGGUGUCCGAGUGGCUUAAGGAGCACGCCUGGAAAGUGUGUAUACGGCAUCCCCGUAUCGAGGGUUCGAAUCCCUCUCUCUCCGCCA
This 91-nucleotide transfer RNA is filed under the name Gammaproteobacteria bacterium. RNAcentral's name for it is "tRNA-Ser". It matches the Rfam family "tRNA". Rfam says of the family: Transfer RNA (tRNA) molecules are approximately 80 nucleotides in length. Their secondary structure includes four short double-helical elements and three loops (D, anti-codon, and T loops). The record is from RNAcentral. Lineage: Bacteria; Pseudomonadati; Pseudomonadota; Gammaproteobacteria.